ACACUCAAAUAGCAUCAAAUAGUUCAAAUAGCAUCAAAUAGUUCCUGCAAAACUUUGGUUAUAUGUUGUGUCGUUACUAUCCUGAAGUAUGAAUCCUUUGCCACAAAGAUGCAAACCAGGAUCGAGUUACUUCUCACUUACAGAGAGCAUGUAUAGAAGCAUGAUGAAAUGGAGCAACACUCAUGUUCCAGAGUCUGAGGCUCUGGAGGACCGGCUGCUGAGUGUGGAGGUCUCCGAGGUGAAUGUGGACCUUCUCAUGAUGAUCAUGGAAGCGGUGGCGUCCAUUGCUGCUUUUGUCAGAUUCU
Oreochromis niloticus (Nile tilapia) is the source of this 305-nucleotide long non-coding RNA. RefSeq lists it as uncharacterized. The transcript is spliced from 3 exons. NCBI's taxonomy places the organism in Eukaryota, Metazoa, Chordata, Actinopteri, Cichliformes, Cichlidae. The record is from RefSeq and is a predicted model, not a curated record.